GUGGGGAAUAUUGCACAAUGGGCGAAAGCCUGAUGCAGCAACGCCGCGUGAGUGAUGAAGGUCUUCGGAUUGUAAAGCUCUGUCUUUUGGGACGAUAAUGACGGUACCAAAGGAGGAAGCCACGGCUAACUACGUGCCAGCAGCCGCGGUAAUACGUGGGUGGCGAGCGUUGUCCGGAUUUACUGGGCGUAAAGGGUGCGUAGGCGGAUGUUUAAGUGAGAUGUGAAAUACCCGGGCUUAACUUGGGUGCUGCAUUU
Molecule: ribosomal RNA, 257 nt
Filed under: uncultured bacterium
Lineage: Bacteria
Description: partial 16S ribosomal RNA
Rfam family: Bacterial small subunit ribosomal RNA
Source: RNAcentral